Molecule: ribosomal RNA, 465 nt
Filed under: Vreelandella stevensii
Lineage: Bacteria; Pseudomonadati; Pseudomonadota; Gammaproteobacteria; Oceanospirillales; Halomonadaceae
Description: partial 16S ribosomal RNA
Rfam family: Bacterial small subunit ribosomal RNA
Source: RNAcentral
CCUACGGGAGGCUGCAGUGGGGAAUAUUGGACAAUGGGGGGAACCCUGAUCCAGCCAUGCCGCGUGUGUGAAGAAGGCCCUCGGGUUGUAAAGCACUUUCAGUGAGGAAGAACGCCUGGUGGUUAAUACCCAUCAGGAAAGACAUCACUCACAGAAGAAGCACCGGCUAACUCCGUGCCAGCAGCCGCGGUAAUACGGAGGGUGCGAGCGUUAAUCGGAAUUACUGGGCGUAAAGCGCGCGUAGGUGGCUUGAUAAGCCGGUUGUGAAAGCCCCGGGCUCAACCUGGGAACGGCAUCCGGAACUGUCAAGCUAGAGUGCAGGAGAGGAAGGUAGAAUUCCCGGUGUAGCGGUGAAAUGCGUAGAGAUCGGGAGGAAUACCAGUGGCGAAGGCGGCCUUCUGGACUGACACUGACACUGAGGUGCAAAAGCGUGGGUAGCAAACAGGAUUAGAUACCCCAGUAGUC